Molecule: ribosomal RNA, 253 nt
Filed under: uncultured bacterium
Lineage: Bacteria
Description: partial 16S ribosomal RNA
Rfam family: Bacterial small subunit ribosomal RNA
Source: RNAcentral
UACGGAGGGUGCGAGCGUUGUCCGGAAUCAUUGGGCGUAAAGGGCGCGUAGGUGGCCCGGUCAGUCGAUGGUGAAAGCGCGGGGCUCAACUCCGCGUCGGCCGUCGAUACUGUUGGGCUUGAGCACUGUAGAGGCAGGCGGAACUCCGGGUGUAGCGGUGGAAUGCGUAGAGAUCCGGAAGAACACCGGUGGCGAAGGCGGCCUGCUGGGCAGUGGCUGACACUGAGGCGCGACAGCGUGGGGAGCAAACAGG